This 373-nucleotide ribosomal RNA is filed under the name uncultured organism. RNAcentral describes it as "partial 16S ribosomal RNA". It matches the Rfam family "Bacterial small subunit ribosomal RNA", at positions 527 to 896 of the family's 1533-position model. The record is from RNAcentral.
GUAGGUGGCAAGCGUUGUCCGGAAUUAUUGGGCGUAAAGCGCGCGCAGGCGGUCCUUUAAGUCUGAUGUGAAAGCCCACGGGCUCAACCGUGGAGGGUCAUUGGAAACUGGGGGACUUGAGUACAGAAGAGGAAAGCGGAAUUCCAAGUGUAGCGGUGAAAUGCGUAGAGAUUUGGAGGAACACCAGUGGCGAAGGCGGCUUUCUGGUCUGUAACUGACGCUGAGGCGCGAAAGCGUGGGGAGCAAACAGGAUUAGAUACCCUGGUAGUCCACGCCGUAAACGAUGAGUGCUAAGUGUUAGGGGGUUUCCGCCCCUUAGUGCUGCAGCUAACGCAUUAAGCACUCCGCCUGGGGAGUACAGCCGCAAAGGCUG